Molecule: ribosomal RNA, 262 nt
Filed under: uncultured soil bacterium
Lineage: Bacteria
Description: partial 16S ribosomal RNA
Rfam family: Bacterial small subunit ribosomal RNA
Source: RNAcentral
AGGACGAACGCUGGCGGCGUGCUUAACACAUGCAAGUCGAACGGUGAAGGAGAGCUUGCUCUCCGGAUCAGUGGCGAACGGGUGAGUAACACGUGAGUAACCUGCCCUUGACUCUGGGAUAAGCGUUGGAAACGACGUCUAAUACCGGAUACGAGCUUCAGCCGCAUGGCUAGGAGCUGGAAAGAAUUUCGGUACAAGGAUGGACUCGCGGUCCUAAUCAGCUAGGUUGGUGAGGUAAUGGCUCACCAAGGCGAUGACGGUA